Small nuclear RNA from Dendronephthya gigantea, 124 nucleotides. RefSeq annotates it as U4atac minor spliceosomal RNA. The record is from RefSeq and is a predicted model, not a curated record. NCBI's taxonomy places the organism in Eukaryota, Metazoa, Cnidaria, Anthozoa, Malacalcyonacea, Nephtheidae. The transcript has a single exon.
AACGUCCUUAUCGGGGGUAGAGCAUCAGUUCCGUGAUCGUCAAGUGAGAACUGCUUUGCUGACACCCUGACUACAGCACUUAUUCACCAACAAUAUUCAUUUGUUCGGUGAAAUUUUUGGAAUA